CGGGCUAUGUGUACAUAUUAAUGUUAAUUUUCAAAUUAUCAUGAUUAUAAAAUUUUACUUACAAAUUCUUUUUUUAAAAAAUUUUCAGUUUUUAUGUAUAUUAAUAUUAAUGUAAUUCAUUUCAUCUUAAUUAAAUUGCACCUUGACCUGAUAUUUAAAAAUAAUUUUUUUGGUAAUUUAUUUUUAAUAAUUACUGUGUACGGUGGUAUACAAAUAUAAAUUAAGUAAGGUUUAUCGUGUAUUUUCGUUUCAGAAACAAAUUCCUUUGUAAAAGUUAAUACCGUCAAAUUUAUUAUUUUAUUUUUUUUUGAAGUAUUAUAUUAUAAUAUAGAAUAAUAGGGUAUCUA
Molecule: ribosomal RNA, 347 nt
Filed under: Epiperipatus sp. 2 GL-2011
Lineage: Eukaryota; Metazoa; Onychophora; Udeonychophora; Euonychophora; Peripatidae
Description: partial 12S ribosomal RNA
Source: RNAcentral